CUUAACACAUGCAAGUCGAGGGGCAGCGGGGGUAGCGAUACCCGCCGGCGACCGGCGCACGGGUGAGUAACGCGUAUGCAACUUGCCUAUCAGAGGGGGAUAACCCGGCGAAAGUCGGACUAAUACCGCAUGAAGCAGGGGCCCCGCAUGGGGAUAUUUGCUAAAGAUUCAUCGCUGAUAGAUAGGCAUGCGUUCCAUUAGGCAGUUGGCGGGGUAACGGCCCACCAAACCGACGAUGGAUAGGGGUUCUGAGAGGAAGGUCCCCCACAUUGGUACUGAGACACGGACCAAACUCCUACGGGAGGCAGCAGUGAGGAAUAUUGGUCAAUGGCCGAGAGGCUGAACCAGCCAAGUCGCGUGAGGGAUGAAGGUUCUAUGGAUCGUAAACCUCUUUUAUAAGGGAAUAAAGUGCGGGACGUGUCCCGUUUUGUAUGUACCUUAUGAAUAAGGAUCGGCUAACUCCGUGCCAGCAGCCGCGGUAAUACGGAGGAUCCGAGCGUUAUCCGGAUUUAUUGGGUUUAAAGGGUGCGUAGGCGGCCUUUUAAGUCAGCGGUGAAAGUCUGUGGCUCAACCAUAGAAUUGCCGUUGAAACUGGGGGGCUUGAGUAUGUUUGAGGCAGGCGGAAUGCGUGGUGUAGCGGUGAAAUGCAUAGAUAUCACGCAGAACCCCGAUUGCGAAGGCAGCCUGCCAAGCCAUUACUGACGCUGAUGCACGAAAGCGUGGGGAUCAAACAGGAUUAGAUACCCUGGUAGUCCACGCAGUAAACGAUGAUCACUAGCUGUUUGCGAUACACUGUAAGCGGCACAGCGAAAGCGUUAAGUGAUCCACCUGGGGAGUACGCCGGCAACGGUGAAACUCAAAGGAAUUGACGGGGGCCCGCACAAGCGGAGGAACAUGUGGUUUAAUUCGAUGAUACGCGAGGAACCUUACCCGGGUUUGAACGCAUUCGGACCGAGGUGGAAACACCUUUUCUAGCAAUAGCCGUUUGCGAGGUGCUGCAUGGUUGUCGUCAGCUCGUGCCGUGAGGUGUCGGCUUAAGUGCCAUAACGAGCGCAACCCUUGCCACUAGUUACUAACAGGUAAAGCUGAGGACUCUGGUGGGACUGCCAGCGUAAGCUGCGAGGAAGGCGGGGAUGACGUCAAAUCAGCACGGCCCUUACAUCCGGGGCGACACACGUGUUACAAUGGCGUGGACAAAGGGAAGCCACCUGGCGACAGGGAGCGAAUCCCCAAACCACGUCUCAGUUCGGAUCGGAGUCUGCAACCCGACUCCGUGAAGCUGGAUUCGCUAGUAAUCGCGCAUCAGCCAUGGCGCGGUGAAUACGUUCCCGGGCCUUGUACACACCGCCCGUCAAGCCAUGGGAGCCGGGGGUACCUGAAGUCCGUAACCGCGAGGAUCGGCCUAGGGUAAAACUGGUGACUGGGGCU
RNAcentral lists this ribosomal RNA (1428 nucleotides) under uncultured organism. RNAcentral's name for it is "SSU rRNA". It matches the Rfam family "Bacterial small subunit ribosomal RNA". The record is from RNAcentral.